This 480-nucleotide ribosomal RNA is filed under the name Alcaligenes sp. GPSD 14. RNAcentral describes it as "bacterial SSU rRNA". It matches the Rfam family "Bacterial small subunit ribosomal RNA", at positions 57 to 526 of the family's 1533-position model. Lineage: Bacteria; Pseudomonadati; Pseudomonadota; Betaproteobacteria; Burkholderiales; Alcaligenaceae. The record is from RNAcentral.
GCAAGUCGAACGGCAGCGCGAGAGAGCUUGCUCUCUUGGCGGCGAGUGGCGGACGGGUGAGUAAUAUAUCGGAACGUGCCCAGUAGCGGGGGAUAACUACUCGAAAGAGUGGCUAAUACCGCAUACGCCCUACGGGGGAAAGGGGGGGAUCGCAAGACCUCUCACUAUUGGAGCGGCCGAUAUCGGAUUAGCUAGUUGGUGGGGUAAAGGCUCACCAAGGCAACGAUCCGUAGCUGGUUUGAGAGGACGACCAGCCACACUGGGACUGAGACACGGCCCAGACUCCUACGGGAGGCAGCAGUGGGGAAUUUUGGACAAUGGGGGAAACCCUGAUCCAGCCAUCCCGCGUGUAUGAUGAAGGCCUUCGGGUUGUAAAGUACUUUUGGCAGAGAAGAAAAGGUAUCCCCUAAUACGGGGUACUGCUGACGGUAUCUGCAGAAUAAGCACCGGCUAACUACGUGCCAGCGGCCGCGGUAAUAC